AGAGUUUGAUUCUGGCUCAGGAUGAACGCUAGCUACAGGCUUAACACAUGCAAGUCGAGGGGCAGCAUUAGAUUAGCUUGCUAAUUAGAUGGCGACCGGCGCACGGGUGAGUAACGCGUAUCCAACCUUCCCCCUGCUCAGGGAUAGCCCGGUGAAAACCGGAUUAAGACCUGAUAGUUUCACUAGAUGGCAUCUGACGGUGAAUAAAGGUUUCGGCAUGGGAUGGGGAUGCGUCUGAUUAGCUUGUUGGCGGGGUAACGGCCCACCAAGGCAACGAUCAGUAGGGGUUCUGAGAGGAAGGUCCCCCACAUUGGAACUGAGACACGGUCCAAACUCCUACGGGAGGCAGCAGUGAGGAAUAUUGGUCAAUGGGCGGAAGCCUGAACCAGCCAAGUAGCGUGCAGGAUGACGGCCCUAUGGGUUGUAAACUGCUUUUGUGCGGGAAUAAAGUCAGGGACGCGUCCCUGUUUGCAUGUACCGCAAGAAUAAGGACCGGCUAAUUCCGUGCCAGCCGCCGC
This 518-nucleotide ribosomal RNA is filed under the name uncultured bacterium. RNAcentral's name for it is "bacterial SSU rRNA". It matches the Rfam family "Bacterial small subunit ribosomal RNA", at positions 8 to 518 of the family's 1533-position model. The record is from RNAcentral.